AGUCGACCCAAGUGAAGGAAGGCUGAAUUAUAAGUUUCUGUGGUUCUGAGAGGGUCGACCUAAGGAAAGGUUGAGUCGACCCAAGUGAAAGUUGGAUCGACCCAAGGAAAGGUUGAGUCGACCCAAGCACGGGCAGAAGCAUAACGGCUAGUUCUGCAGAAGUACUUUUUGUCCUUCCAACAGUGAGUAACGGCUAGUUUUUGAAUUCUAACCAUUGGGGCUUGUCCAAUGGAUGAAGGAAACUAUUUAAAGUGGCACUAUUCAUCAGAGAAAACAUCCUUUUGCAAAAUAUCAAAGAGUACACAAGAAAGACAAAGUGUCCUAAUCUUCUUCAUUCAAGUGCUUCAUUCAAGAGUCAAAAGAAAGUGGUUGAGCAGAUUCCAAGAGUCAUUAAGAGCUCCAUCCAUCCUUGAAGAGUGAAGCAUCCUUGACAAAGAAGAGAGAAGUCACAUCAAGCGAUAACUAUUCUCCAAACUCUUCUUUGUAGAUUAUAUUGUUAUAUUUGCUCAUCUAGGAGCUUAAAUCUU
Molecule: long non-coding RNA, 527 nt
Filed under: Phoenix dactylifera (date palm)
Lineage: Eukaryota; Viridiplantae; Streptophyta; Magnoliopsida; Arecales; Arecaceae
Description: long non-coding RNA (PDAC_LNC022484)
Source: RNAcentral